This 513-nucleotide ribosomal RNA is filed under the name uncultured bacterium. Its description in RNAcentral is "partial 16S ribosomal RNA". It matches the Rfam family "Bacterial small subunit ribosomal RNA", at positions 30 to 523 of the family's 1533-position model. The record is from RNAcentral.
AUUGAACGCUGGCGGCAUGCCUAACACAUGCAAGUCGAACGGCAGCACAGUAAAGACUUCGGUCUUUAUGGGUGGCGAGUGGCGGACGGGUGAGUAACGCGUAGGAAUCUGUCCUGGAGAGUGGGAUAACCCGAGGAAACUCGGGCUAAUACCGCAUGAUAUCGAGAGAUCAAAGGCAGGGGACCCUUCGGGGCCUUGCGCUCUAGGUUGAGCCUACGUCGGAUUAGCUAGUUGGUGGGGUAAAGGCCCACCAAGGCGACGAGCCGUAGCUGGUCUGAGAGGAUGACCAGCCACACUGGGACUGAGACACGGCCCAGACUCCUACGGGAGGUAGCAGUGGGGAAUCUUGGACAAUGGGGGAAACCCUGAUCCAGCGAUGCCGCGUGUGUGAAGAAGGCCUUCGGGUUGUAAAGCACUUUAGGUGGGGAAGAAAGGUAAUGAGUGAAUAACUGAUUGCUUUGACGGUACCCGCAGAAUAAGCACCGGCUAACUCUGUGCCAGCAGCCGCCGUAA